UAUGUUAGAUAUUAAUAUGUAAAUUGUUUAUAAAAAAAAAGGGGGUAUAAGUAAAUGGAAUAUUCUAGAAUUUAUUUAAUAUUAAAAUAUUAAGGAUUUUUGUAAUAAGUCAUAUAAUAUUAAUGAAUAAACUUGAAUAUUCUAGAAUUGCUAUUGAUAAAAAUAUCUAAGAUUUUAUUAGCAAAUAGCAUUAAAAUAUUUAUAAAGUGUUAGAUUUUUAUUGUAUAAGUUAGAUUUUUUAAUAGAUAAUCCAUGUAUAUAUAUAAGGAUAUGCUUAUGGUUUGGUAAUUUCCCUAUCUUCUCUCCCCUGCGUCUUUUCUCUUCUCUCCAUCUUCACCACUCAUCGAUUUACUGCAGCCAUCAAGUGCUAGGAGCGGUGCAUCCAAGGCUCGAGGAGGACAACCGAAGCAAGCUUGAAGAGGUUUGAAUUCAAUCACUUAAGGAGCGGCGCAUCCAAGGCUCGAGGAGGACAACCGAAGCAAGCUUGAAGAGGUUUGAAUUCAAUCACUUAAGGUGGGGUUUACUUUUAUCUGUAAGCGUAGUUGUUACAUGGUUAUAAUCAUUGUUGUGUUGUGCGUCAUUCAUAUGAACUAAUGGGACCCACAAGGGGUCGGAUCCACAAGGGAUCAAAGAGCUGAACGGCCCACAAGGGGUCAGGUCCACAAGGGACCGAGACUAGUCUCACAAGAUGUCAGCUAAGUGAAAAAUAUAAGAGUUCAACAUGUUAUGAUUCAUUACACAAUUGGUUAUAACUGCUUGCAGUGUUUACCCCACUGAGUGUGCUUGCACACUCAUACCCUAUUAUUUAUGAUUCU
Salvia miltiorrhiza (redroot sage) is the source of this 815-nucleotide long non-coding RNA. RefSeq lists it as uncharacterized. Lineage: Eukaryota; Viridiplantae; Streptophyta; Magnoliopsida; Lamiales; Lamiaceae. The transcript has 3 exons. The record is from RefSeq and is a predicted model, not a curated record.